RNAcentral lists this ribosomal RNA (786 nucleotides) under uncultured bacterium. RNAcentral's name for it is "bacterial SSU rRNA". It matches the Rfam family "Bacterial small subunit ribosomal RNA", at positions 636 to 1422 of the family's 1533-position model. The record is from RNAcentral.
UNUGACUUGAGUGCAGAAGGGGAGAGUGGAAUUCCAUGUGUAGCGGUGAAAUGCGUAGAUAUAUGGAGGAACACCAGUGGCGAAAGCGGCUCUCUGGUCUGUCACUGACGCUGAGGCUCGAAAGCGUGGGUAGCGAACAGGAUUAGAUACCCUGGUAGUNCACGCCGUAAACGAUGAGUGCUAGGUGUUAGGCCCUUUCCGGGGCUUAGUGCCGGAGCUAACGCAAUAAGCACUCCGCCUGGGGAGUACGACCGCAAGGUUGAAACUCAAAGGAAUUGACGGGGGCCCGCACAAGCGGUGGAGCAUGUGGUUUAAUUCGAAGCAACGCGAAGAACCUUACCAGGUCUUGACAUCCCGAUGCUAUUCUUAGAGAUAGGAAGUUACUUCGGUACAUCGGAGACAGGUGGUGCAUGGUUGUCGUCAGCUCGUGUCGUGAGAUGUUGGGUUAAGUCCCGCAACGAGCGCAACCCUUAUUGUUAGUUGCCAUCAUUAAGUUGGGCACUCUAGCGAGACUGCCGGUAAUAAACCGGAGGAAGGUGGGGAUGACGUCAAAUCAUCAUGCCCCUUAUGACCUGGGCUACACACGUGCUACAAUGGUCGGUACAACGAGUUGCGAGCCGGUGACGGCAAGCUAAUCUCUGAAAGCCGAUCUCAGUUCGGAUUGGAGGCUGCAACUCGCCUCCAUGAAGUCGGAAUCGCUAGUAAUCGCGGAUCAGCACGCCGCGGUGAAUACGUUCCCGGGCCUUGUACACACCGCCCGUCACACCACGAGAGUUUGUAACACCC